Molecule: ribosomal RNA, 636 nt
Filed under: Lactifluus subiculatus
Lineage: Eukaryota; Fungi; Basidiomycota; Agaricomycetes; Russulales; Russulaceae
Description: eukaryotic LSU rRNA
Source: RNAcentral
UCAUACAARCAAGARRUGUCAGGGCUGUCGCUGACCCCCUGGGGUCGUGCACGCUCUGGGCAUCCUCACACAAUCCACUUCACCUUUGUGCAUCAUCGCGUGGGGUUCCCCCCUUUUAUUCCAAAAGGGGCCCGCGUUUUUCACACAGACGCCGCAGUUAUAGAACGUUUUUGUUUUGCAGUCACAUGCAACCAAAUAUAUAACUUUCAACAACGGAUCUCUUGGCUCUCGCAUCGAUGAAGAACGCAGCGAAAUGCGAUACGUAAUGUGAAUUGCAGAAUUCAGUGAAUCAUCGAAUCUUUGAACGCAUCUUGCGCCCCUUGGCAUUCCGAGGGGCACACCCGUUUGAGUGUCAUGAAACUCUCAACCCUUCUUCCCUUUCUUGUUGAACCGGGAGGAUGGCUUGGAAUUUGGAGGCUUCUGCCGGUUUUCAUCGGCUCCUCUUAAAGGAAUUAGUAGGGUCUCGUUUGCUGAUCCUUGACGUGAUAACGUUUGACGUCAUUUUGAGAGGCAGAGACUUUGCUUCCAAUGGUCUCAUCAAGGGACACCAGUGAGAUCAAAGAUCCCACUAAACCCCAUUGACCUCAAAUCGGGUGAGACUACCCGCUGAACUUAAGCAUAUCAAUAAGCGGAGGA